GCCCCCAUCGUCUAGCGGCCUAGGACACCGCCCUUUCACGGCGGCGGCACGGGUUCGAAUCCCGUUGGGGGUGACCA
This 77-nucleotide transfer RNA is filed under the name Corynebacterium aurimucosum. Its description in RNAcentral is "tRNA-Glu". It matches the Rfam family "tRNA". Rfam says of the family: Transfer RNA (tRNA) molecules are approximately 80 nucleotides in length. Lineage: Bacteria; Bacillati; Actinomycetota; Actinomycetes; Mycobacteriales; Corynebacteriaceae. The record is from RNAcentral.